This 117-nucleotide non-coding RNA is filed under the name Chlorocebus sabaeus (green monkey). The record is from Rfam by way of RNAcentral. Lineage: Eukaryota; Metazoa; Chordata; Mammalia; Primates; Cercopithecidae.
GCCAGGCACGGUGGCUCGUGCCUGUAAUCCCAGCACUUUGGGAGGCAGAGGUGGGUGGAUCACCUGAGGUCAGGAGUUUGAGACCAGCCUGACCAACGAGGUGAAACCCCAUCUCUA